CGGUGUCACUGGAGGCUGGACGAGUCACUCCCACCACUCCUCCUCCGCUCUCUGCUGUCACAAAGUUUCAUUCUUCAGAGCGCCGCCUUGUCAGCAGAAGCACUCUCUGUAAAAAUGAGGAUCUGUCAGACGUCAGUGGGGCAGAUGUCACGUGUGGAGAAGACAGUGGGGCAACGCUUUAUUCUUGUGUUGAGGUGACAGGGUCCGCGGGAGUCCUCAGGUCCAGCUCCAGGCUCUCAAGUGAUGGGAUUUCCGGAUCUUUUUAGAGAGCUGGCUCUUGCGGCUCCGACCGACUCUUCAGAGGCGAGGCUGCCAUAUCGCACCAUCGGCCAUCACUAGUAGGCGGUAGGUGAAGAGUCUUGACCACGGACACAGCGACGGAGAGUGUCUGAGCCGGGGCUCGGACCGACAACCUUCUGAUCACAAGGCGAACUGCCAACUCUUGAGCCACGAUCGCUCUAACUAGUGACGAUAAUAAUACUUAUGUGAUGUAACACAAGCUUAUAGGGAUCAUGUUAUAUACUUUUCCAUAGCAUUACAUUUGAAUUCAACAGUUCAAUCUUUCAAAUAACGGACAGAUAUUUGUGAAAUCAUGAUACAUUUGUGAAUGUAUUUUUACAAUCUAAAUAUGCAUAUGUACAAAAAAAUUUAUUUAAAAAACAAGUAAAUUGUGUUUUAUUACAUUUACAGUGAUGUUAUGUUAUUUUACAUUUGACAUGCCAGAUCACAGUCUACUUAUGUAAAUGUAAUGAUAUUCUAGAAAAACAGUACACAACUGUAAAAUACACUGUAAAAUAAUUUGACAUUUCUAUUUUUUGGAACAGUGCAGGUAACAAAAGCUCAAUGCUGGGCCUAGCAUUCUGGAGCACUUCUGUUGUGUUUUCUUCGUGUUUUGGAGUUUUUACGUGCUUCUGAGUUUUUAUGUGUUUUGGAGUUUGUACGUGCUUCAGGGUUUGUACGUAUUGUGAAGUUUGUACGUGCUUUGUCUGUAGGGGCCACCGUAAAUAUACUUUUAUUUAUUCACUCCACAUAAAAUGUAAUAAAUAAAUCAUAUAAAACGAAAACCAACUAGUCACAGUUCAACUUUUAACUAUUUAAAUUUUCAGCUUUUUUUUUUUAAAUGAAACAACACAAAAUGCUGCAAACCACAACACAAUUAAAUAUAAAUGAAAAUAUGAAAACAAAAAGAAGAUGCACAUUCUCAGUCAUAUGGGCCUGCAUGAAUAAACUUUCUGAAUCCUGUAUCAUCC
Molecule: long non-coding RNA, 1250 nt
Organism: Astatotilapia calliptera (eastern happy)
Lineage: Eukaryota; Metazoa; Chordata; Actinopteri; Cichliformes; Cichlidae
Source: Ensembl